GCUUGUCUCAAAGAUUAAGCCAUGCAUGUCUAAGUAUAAACACCUUUAUACUGUGAAACUGCGUACAGCUCAUUAAAUCAGUAAUAAUUUAUUUGAUGGUGACUUACUACAUGGAUAACCGUAGUAACCUAGAGCUAAUACAUGCAUCAAUCCCCGACUUCCUGGAAGGGGUGUACUUAUUAGAUGGAAACCAAUGCGGGGCAACCCGGAUUCUGGUGAUUCAUAAUAAUUAUCGGAUCGAUCGUAUGAUCGAUGCAUCAUUCAAGUUUCUGCCCUAUCAGCUUUGGAUGGUAGGGUAUUGGCCUACCAUGGCAUUAACGGGUAACGGAGAAUUAGGGUUCGAUUCCGGAGAGGGAGCCUGAGAAAUGGCUACCACAUCCAAGGAAGGCAGCAGG
RNAcentral lists this ribosomal RNA (395 nucleotides) under uncultured Chrysophyceae. RNAcentral's name for it is "partial small subunit ribosomal RNA". It matches the Rfam family "Eukaryotic small subunit ribosomal RNA", at positions 30 to 432 of the family's 1831-position model. Lineage: Eukaryota; Chrysophyceae. The record is from RNAcentral.